RNAcentral lists this ribosomal RNA (1455 nucleotides) under uncultured organism. Its description in RNAcentral is "SSU rRNA". It matches the Rfam family "Bacterial small subunit ribosomal RNA". The record is from RNAcentral.
GAUGAACGCUAGCUACAGGCUUAACACAUGCAAGUCGAGGGGCAGCAUGGUCUUAGCUUGCUAAGGCCGAUGGCGACCGGCGCACGGGUGAGUAACACGUAUCCAACCUGCCGUCUACUCUUGGACAGCCUUCUGAAAGGAAGAUUAAUACAAGAUGGCAUCAUGAGUCCGCAUGUUCACAUGAUUAAAGGUAUUCCGGUAGACGAUGGGGAUGCGUUCCAUUAGAUAGUAGGCGGAGUAACGGCCCACCUAGUCUUCGAUGGAUAGGGGUUCUGAGAGGAAGGUCCCCCACAUUGGAACUGAGACACGGUCCAAACUCUUACGGGAGGCAGCAGUGAGGAAUAUUGGUCAAUGGGCGAGAGCCUGAACCAGCCAAGUAGCGUGAAGGAUGACUGCCCUAUGGGUUGUAAACUUCUUUUAUAAAGGAAUAAAGUCGGGUAUGGAUACCCGUUUGCAUGUACUUUAUGAAUAAGGAUCGGCUAACUCCGUGCCAGCAGCCGCGGUAAUACGGAGGAUCCGAGCGUUAUCCGGAUUUAUUGGGUUUAAAGGGAGCGUAGAUGGAUGUUUAAGUCAGUUGUGAAAGUUUGCGGCUCAACCGUAAAAUUGCAGUUGAUACUGGAUAUCUUGAGUGCAGUUGAGGCAGGCGGAAUUCGUGAUGUAGCGGUGAAAUGCUUAGAUAUCACGAAGAACUCCGAUUGCGAAGGCAGCCUGCUAAGCUGCAACUGACAUUGAGGCUCGAAAGUGUGGGUAUCAAACAGGAUUAGAUACCCUGGUAGUCCACACGGUAAACGAUGAAUACUCGCUGUUUGCGAUAUACAGCAAGCGGCCAAGCGAAAGCGUUAAGUAUUCCACCUGGGGAGUACGCCGGCAACGGUGAAACUCAAAGGAAUUGACGGGGGCCCGCACAAGCGGAGGAACAUGUGGUUUAAUUCGAUGAUACGCGAGGAACCUUACCCGGGCUUAAAUUGCAGAUGAAUUACGGUGAAAGCCGUAAGCCGCAAGGCAUCUGUGAAGGUGCUGCAUGGUUGUCGUCAGCUCGUGCCGUGAGGUGUCGGCUUAAGUGCCAUAACGAGCGCAACCCUUGUUGUCAGUUACUAACAGGUUCCGCUGAGGACUCUGACAAGACUGCCAUCGUAAGAUGUGAGGAAGGUGGGGAUGACGUCAAAUCAGCACGGCCCUUACGUCCGGGGCUACACACGUGUUACAAUGGGGGGGUACAGAGGGCCGCUACCACGCGAGUGGAUGCCAAUCCCAAAAACCUCUCUCAGUUCGGACUGGAGUCUGCAACCCGACUCCACGAAGCUGGAUUCGCUAGUAAUCGCGCAUCAGCCACGGCGCGGUGAAUACGUUCCCGGGCCUUGUACACACCGCCCGUCAAGCCAUGGGAGCCGGGGGUACCUGAAGUGCGUAACCGCGAGGAGCGCCCUAGGGUAAAACUGGUGACUGGGGCUAAGU